This 498-nucleotide ribosomal RNA is filed under the name uncultured bacterium. RNAcentral's name for it is "partial 16S ribosomal RNA". It matches the Rfam family "Bacterial small subunit ribosomal RNA", at positions 30 to 523 of the family's 1533-position model. The record is from RNAcentral.
AUUGAACGCUGGCGGCAUGCCUUACACAUGCAAGUCGAACGGUAACAGGUCUUCGGACGCUGACGAGUGGCGAACGGGUGAGUAAUACAUCGGAACGUGCCCAGUCGUGGGGGAUAACUACUCGAAAGAGUAGCUAAUACCGCAUACGAUCUGAGGAUGAAAGCGGGGGACCUUCGGGCCUCGCGCGAUUGGAGCGGCCGAUGGCAGAUUAGGUAGUUGGUGGGAUAAAAGCUUACCAAGCCGACGAUCUGUAGCUGGUCUGAGAGGACGACCGGCCAAACUGGGACUGAGAAACGGCCCAGACUCCGACGGGAGGCAGCAGUGGGGAAUUUUGGACAAUGGGCGAAAGCCUGAUCCAGCAAUGCCGCGUGCAGGAUGAAGGCCUUCGGGUUGUAAACUGCUUUUGUACGGAACGAAAAAGCUCCUUCUAAUACAGGGGGCCCAUGACGGUACCGUAAGAAUAAGCACCGGCUAACUACGUGCCAGCCGCCGCAGUAA